ACCUACGGGGGGCAGCAGUGGGGAAUAUUGCACAAUGGGGGAAACCCUGAUGCAGCGACGCCGCGUGAAGGAAGAAGUAUUUCGGUAUGUAAACUUCUAUCAGCAGGGAAGAAAAUGACGGUACCUGACUAAGAAGCCCCGGCUAACUACGUGCCAGCAGCCGCGGUAAUACGUAGGGGGCAAGCGUUAUCCGGAUUUACUGGGUGUAAAGGGAGCGUAGGCGGCGAUGCAAGUCAGAAGUGAAAGCCCGGGGCUCAACUCCGGGACUGCUUUUGAAACUGUUUUUCUUGAGUACUGGAGAGGCA
This 305-nucleotide ribosomal RNA is filed under the name uncultured bacterium. Its description in RNAcentral is "bacterial SSU rRNA". It matches the Rfam family "Bacterial small subunit ribosomal RNA", at positions 337 to 659 of the family's 1533-position model. The record is from RNAcentral.